Long non-coding RNA from Papilio polytes (common Mormon), 467 nucleotides. RefSeq lists it as uncharacterized. The transcript has 3 exons. Lineage: Eukaryota; Metazoa; Arthropoda; Insecta; Lepidoptera; Papilionidae. The record is from RefSeq and is a predicted model, not a curated record.
CAGAACUGUAUCUUGUUUCUUUGGUUAAGACGGCAAAAAAAAGUUCUUUUUAGAACUGUAUCUUGUCGUUGGUUAAGACGACAAAAAAGUUCUUUUCAGAACUAUCUAGUUUCUUUGGUCAAGACGGAAAAAAAAGUUCUUUUCAGAACUAUCUCCUGUCUCUAAGGUUAUCAGAAACACAAUAAAAAAGUUCUUUUCAGAACUGUAUCAUGUUAUUAUGGUUAUCAGAAGAUCCUUUGGCUCUAUGCCUGCAAGAUGUAUUAAAUUUAAAUGUAUUGGUGUUUCAGGGAGCUGUUCUAGCUGUAGGUGGAAAGUAGGCGGUCAGUUGGUGCCAGGAGACGUGCCAAGAGUUGUGCCCUUUGGUUAGUGCUUGUGUAAUGCAUGCAAUGCAAGUUUCAGCCGAGGUGAACCACCAACGCGGCUGCGACGCCUCAGCACGAGCGGCGGCCGUGCUGACUGCAGUUGAC